ACGUAGGGGGCAAGCGUUGUCCGGAUUUACUGGGUGUAAAGGGCGCGUAGGCGGAUUUUUAAGUCAGAGGUGAAAUCCUGCAGCUUAACUGCAGAACUGCCUUUGAUACUAUUAAUCUUGAGUAUGGAAGAGAGAGACGGAAUUCCAGGUGUAGUGGUGAAAUACGUAGAUAUCUGGAAGAACACCAGUUGCGAAGGCGGUCUCUUGGUCCAAAACUGACGCUGAGGCGCGAAAGCGUGGGUAGCAAACAG
Molecule: ribosomal RNA, 251 nt
Filed under: uncultured prokaryote
Description: partial 16S rRNA
Rfam family: Bacterial small subunit ribosomal RNA
Source: RNAcentral